AAGACCUUGCGCUUUUGGAGCGGCCGAUGUCUGAUUAGUUUGUUGGUGAGGUAAAGGCUUACCAAGGCUUCGAUCAGUAGCUGGUCUGAGAGGACGGCCAGCCACACUGGGACUGAGACACGGCCCAGACUCCUACGGGAGGCAGCAGUGGGGAAUUUUGGACAAUGGGGGCAACCCUGAUCCAGCCAUGCCGCGUGAGUGAAGAAGGCCUUCGGGUUGUAAAGCUCUUUCAGCCGGAACGAAACGGUUACGGUUAAUACCCGUGACUACUGACGGUACCGGAAGAAGAAGCACCGGCUAACUACGUGCCAGCAGCCGCGGUAAUACGUAGGGUGCAAGCGUUAAUCGGAAUUACUGGGCGUAAAGCGUGCGCAGGUGGUUUUGUAAGUCAGAUGUGAAAUCCCCGGGCUUAACCUGGGAACU
This 423-nucleotide ribosomal RNA is filed under the name uncultured bacterium. RNAcentral's name for it is "bacterial SSU rRNA". It matches the Rfam family "Bacterial small subunit ribosomal RNA", at positions 207 to 622 of the family's 1533-position model. The record is from RNAcentral.